Pseudonaja textilis is the source of this 95-nucleotide non-coding RNA. Lineage: Eukaryota; Metazoa; Chordata; Lepidosauria; Squamata; Elapidae. The record is from RefSeq and is a predicted model, not a curated record.
UUGCACAGGUACAGACUAGGAGCCUUGUGGGACAGUGAUUAAAUGUAGUAUUGCAGGCAAACUCUCCCAUGGCUUGGAGUUCAAUCCUUAGAGGG